UGUCUUCUAAAUAAAGACCUGUAUGAAUGGCUAAAUGAAUAUUUUACUGUCUCCUUUAACCAAUCAAUGAAACUGAUCUUUCAGUACAAAAGCUGAAAUAAAACCAUAAGACGAGAAGACCCUGUGGAGCUUUAAGCUUACAUCAAUACCCCCUUACUAAAAGAGUAUAUGAUUAAUGCUUUAAGUUGGGGCGACUUUGGAGAAAAACAAAACCUCCAAGAAAAAUAAGGCCCUGCCUAAACAAGGCUGACAAGCAGAAAUAUGCGACCCAGUACUACUGAUCAACGAACCAAGUUACCCCAGGGAUAACAGCGCUAUCUUCUUCAAGAGUUCAUAUCGACAAGAAGGUUUACGACCUCGAUGUUGGAUCAGGACACCCAAAUGGUGCAGCCGCUAUUAAAGGUUCGUUUGUUCAACGAUUAAUAGU
RNAcentral lists this ribosomal RNA (427 nucleotides) under Anolis chamaeleonides (short-bearded anole). RNAcentral's name for it is "partial 16S ribosomal RNA". It matches the Rfam family "Bacterial large subunit ribosomal RNA", at positions 1970 to 2594 of the family's 2925-position model. Lineage: Eukaryota; Metazoa; Chordata; Lepidosauria; Squamata; Anolidae. The record is from RNAcentral.